CGGAGCGUUUAGAGUUCCGGCUGCUCCUUAGGGAUCUCUGCCUCCUCACCAGCAGGCUGGGAGCCGGCCCUUCUCGCUGUUUCUGGCGUCUGCCUCCAGCAAGUCCUCCCGUUUCUCUACCUCUUCCCUCAUUUCCCGUCUGCCCAGCUUUGUGUGAAACCAGACGACAAAGGGUGUUCGGAUUAAGAGCCAGAUGUUAGAGAAAUUUCUGGAAUGUUCCAGGUACACCUAUGUCCUCCAACACGAAAGUUAAAGCAUGUCCUUGAGACUUCUCAGACACCACUGCCACUCUCUUAGCUCCCAGCGUUGUUGGUGUGACAUUCAGGAUGCCUAGCAUGCAUGUGAUCAGCAGAGCAGAUGAACUGGAAGAAUGAAAUCCUAUUCUUUCACUCAGCAUACAGCACUGUUACAGGCUUUCUCAGUUCAACAAAUAAAUAUGGGGAACUCGAAGUCAGGUUGAUGGGCAGGGGAGGUGUCUCGUUCAUUUGUUCCACAAAUAUUUAUUGCUUGUCUGCUUUGUGCCAGGCAUUACACUUUGGGUGCUUGGGAUACAUGAAUGAAUA
RNAcentral lists this long non-coding RNA (563 nucleotides) under Equus caballus (horse). RNAcentral describes it as "lncRNA (ENSECAG00000034851.2)". The record is from RNAcentral. Lineage: Eukaryota; Metazoa; Chordata; Mammalia; Perissodactyla; Equidae.